GUGUCAAUUUAAUUGGGGCACAGUGCCCAGAUUCUGGUCAGAUAUUAUUCUGGAUGUUUCUGUGUGGGUAUUUCUGGAUGAGACUGGCAUUUAAAUUAAUAAAUUUUGAGUAAAGUAUAUUGUCCUUUAUAAUGUGCCUUCCAAGCAGUUGAAGGCCUGUAUAGAACAAAAGACUGACUUGCACCAAUCAGGAAAGAAUUCUACCAGGAGACUGCCUUUGGACUUAAAUUACAACACUGGCUCUUCCCUGAGUCUCCGGCCUAUUGGCUCUCCCUGCAGAUUUUGGAUUUGCCAGCCUUCAUAAGUUGGCUUUAAUCUGGUAAAUCAAAGUAUGGACAUCUGCAUAUAUGUGAAUAUUUUCCAUAACCUUGAGAAAAAUGAUCUAUGACCUGAGGUUUUUCAAGAACAAUUAACUAGCCGCAAGGAUAAUGGAGAAAAUGAAAGUCAACAACUUGUUUUCAUUGAGUACCUGGACGUUUCAGAACGAGACUUAGGUGCAUUUAAAUUCAGUGACAAAGGCAUAAUUUAUAAAUCCUCCUUGAGAAAUAUUCUUAGAGGAAUAACUCAACCAGGGGCUAAAGAAUAAAGGAGAAAAAACAAACAGUAUGUAUUCACUACUUUACUCUUCACACUUCCCAAUUUCAUUAGUCAGGUAGAAUUUACAACCCCAUUGAUUGAUAUGCUAUGA
Macaca mulatta (Rhesus monkey) is the source of this 688-nucleotide non-coding RNA. NCBI's taxonomy places the organism in Eukaryota, Metazoa, Chordata, Mammalia, Primates, Cercopithecidae. The record is from RefSeq and is a predicted model, not a curated record.